This 652-nucleotide ribosomal RNA is filed under the name uncultured bacterium. RNAcentral describes it as "bacterial SSU rRNA". It matches the Rfam family "Bacterial small subunit ribosomal RNA", at positions 63 to 763 of the family's 1533-position model. The record is from RNAcentral.
CGAGCGCCCCGCAAGGGGAGCGGCAGACGGGAGAGUAACACGUGGGAACGUGCCCUUUGGUUCGGAACAACACAGGGAAACUUGUGCUAAUACCGGAUAAGUCCGUAAGGAGAAAGAUUUAUCGCCAAAGGAUCGGCCCGCGUCUGAUUAGCUUGUUGGUGAGGUAACGGCUCACCAAGGCGACGAUCAGUAGCUGGUCUGAGAGGAUGAUCAGCCUCACUGGGACUGAGACACGGCCCAGACUCCUACGGGAGGCAGCAGUGGGGAAUAUUGGACAAUGGGCGCAAGCCUGAUCCAGCCAUGCCGCGUGGAUGAUGAAGGCCCUAGGGUUGUAAAGUCCUUUCGACGGGGAAGAUAAUGACGGUACCCGUAGAAGAAGCCCCGGCUAACUUCGUGCCAGCAGCCGCGGUAAUACGAAGGGGGCUAGCGUUGCUCGGAAUCACUGGGCGUAAAGCGCACGUAGGCGGCUUUUUAAGUCAGAGGUGAAAUCCUGGAGCUCAACUCCAGAACUGCCUUUGAUACUGAGAAGCUUGAGUCCGGGAGAGGUGAGUGGAACUGCGAGUGUAGAGGUGAAAUUCGUAGAUAUUCGCAAGAACACCAGUGGCGAAGGCGGCUCACUGGCCCGGUACUGACGCUGAGGUGCGAAAGCGUG